GGAGGAAAAGAAACCAACAGGGAUUGCCCUAGUAACGGCGAGUGAAGCGGCAACAGCUCAAAUUUGAAAUCUGGCUCUCUUUGGGGGUCCGAGUUGUAAUUUGCAGAGGAUGCUUUGGCAUUGGCGGCGGUCUAAGUUCCUUGGAACAGGACAUCGCAGAGGGUGAGAAUCCCGUACGUGGGCGCCUGCCUUUGCCGUGUAAAGCUCCUUCGACGAGUCGAGUUGUUUGGGAAUGCAGCUCUAAAUGGGAGGUAAAUUUCUUCUAAAGCUAAAUACCGGCCAGAGACCGAUAGCGCACAAGUAGAGUGAUCGAAAGAUGAAAAGUACUUUGGAAAGAGAGUCAAAAAGCACGUGAAAUUGUUGAAAGGGAAGCGCUUGCAGCCAGACUUGCCCGCAGUUGCUCACCUAGGCUUUGGCCUGGGGCACUCUUCUGCGGGCAGGCCAGCAUCAGUUUGGGCGGUUGGAUAAAGGCCUCUGUCACGUAUCUUCCUUCGGGAUGACCUUAUAGGGGAGGCGUAAUGCAACCAGCCCGGACUGAGGUCCGCGCAUCUGCUAGGAUGCUGGCGUAAUGGCUGUAAGCGGCCCGUCUUGAAACACGGACCAAGGAGUCUAACAUCUAUGCGAGUGUUUGGGUGUCAAGCCCGGGCGCGCAAUGAAAGUGAACGGAGGUGGGAACCCUUUUGGGUGCACCAUCGACCGAUCCUGAUGUCUUCGGAUGGAUUUGAGUAAGAGCAUAGCUGUUGGGACCCGAAAGAUGGUGAACUAUGCUUGAAUAGGGUGAAGCCAGAGGAAACUCUGGUGGAGGCUCGCAGCGGUUCUGACGUGCAAAUCGAUCGUCAAAUUUGGGCAUAGGGGCGAAAGACUAAUCGAACCAUCUAGUAGCUGGUUCCUGCCGAA
This 897-nucleotide ribosomal RNA is filed under the name Paracamarosporium psoraleae. Its description in RNAcentral is "eukaryotic LSU rRNA". It matches the Rfam family "Eukaryotic large subunit ribosomal RNA", at positions 52 to 965 of the family's 3401-position model. The record is from RNAcentral. Lineage: Eukaryota; Fungi; Ascomycota; Dothideomycetes; Pleosporales; Didymosphaeriaceae.